RNAcentral lists this ribosomal RNA (468 nucleotides) under uncultured bacterium. RNAcentral describes it as "partial 16S ribosomal RNA". It matches the Rfam family "Bacterial small subunit ribosomal RNA", at positions 28 to 507 of the family's 1533-position model. The record is from RNAcentral.
GACGAACGCUGGCGGCGUGCUUAACACAUGCAAGUCGAACGGAAAGGCCCUGCUUUUGUGGGGUGCUCGAGUGGCGAACGGGUGAGUAACACGUGAGUAACCUGCCCUUGACUUUGGGAUAACUUCAGGAAACUGGGGCUAAUACCGGAUAGGAGCUCCUGCUGCAUGGUGGGGGUUGGAAAGUUUCGGCGGGUGGGGAUGGACUCGCGGCUUAUCAGCUUGUUGGUGGGGUAGUGGCUUACCAAGGCUUUGACGGGUAGCCGGCCUGAGAGGGUGACCGGCCACAUUGGGACUGAGAGACGGCCCAGACUCCUACGGGAGGCAGCAGUGGGGAAUAUUGCACAAUGGGCGGAAGCCUGAUGAAGCAACGCCGCGUGCGGGAUGACGGCCUUCGGGUUGUAAACCGCUUUCGCCUGUGACGAAGCGUGAGUGACGGUAAUGGGUAAAGAAGCACCGGCUAACUACGUG